This 106-nucleotide non-coding RNA is filed under the name uncultured Selenomonas sp. The record is from RNAcentral. Lineage: Bacteria; Bacillati; Bacillota; Negativicutes; Selenomonadales; Selenomonadaceae.
AUAACAAGGGGAGCUUGUGGGCAGAGGAUGCAAAGCAGGCUGAGAGGGAGUUUGAGACUUCGACCCGUAACCUGAUUUGGAUAAUGCCAACGUAGGGAUGAGCAAU